AGGAAAUUCAUCACCACAGCAGGAAACACAGUGCCCAGUGCCCUGUGCAGAGGCAGAAGCCAAAGGAACCAACACAAACCAGUAGUACCCCAGAUUUUUUCCACAUCGACUCUGUGACCUUUGAGGUGCGGCCUCUGGAAGGAUCCAGAUGUGCUGUGGCAGCGAGUUUUUCAAGAGAUAUUCCAUCUAGUGGUCACUAUGGUGAACUGCAGCCUGCCUCUCAGCCGGUCCGUUGCUAAGGGCGGCAGCUGCAGCAGUUCAUCUCCCUGUCUGAGGCAGAGAAUCAUGGGAUAUUUACACUGAGAGCGACCUCCAGAGAUUUCCUGUCAAGACAUCUGCCUCCAACCAGCACGAACAAUAUGUCUUAUGCUUAUAGUGUUGUAUAAAACAGGUUACAAAUAGUACCACGUUUUAAUUCUCACACCAGCCCCAUGAAUUUUGAUGUAGUCAUUAUUUCCAUUUUAAAAACGAGGCAAUGAUCACUCAUAAUUUAAGUUUCUUGGACAAAAAUCACAAUAUCUCCCUUUCAAGUCAACCGUUUGCUGACCUCAGGAAAAUAUAUGGGUAUUUAGAGAUUUAAGAGACUGAGCUGCCCCAUCUCACAUCCGAGUUUUUGCUGGAAAAUCAAGUCAGUGUUUGGAGCUGGUUUUACAUAAGUAGUUUUCAGUUAUGAGUGGAUUUAGUCUACCUACAAAUUUAUCUUCAAAUUUCUCUUUCAAUGGGACAAAUUGAAGGGUCUUGGUGAAGGGGUGAGGAAGAAUUGUCAUGGGCCAACUAUGGGAGGAGGGGCUGAUUCCAGCAUCUGGGCUGGAGGGGCACCUGGGAAUACAGGAGAAGAGAGAGUAUCAGAAGAGGUCUUGUAAGAGGAAAUUAAGCCGGAUAUAACCCCGAUGUGAAAUCACUGGGCACAUCUAAAGUCCUUGCUUUAAAUAUUCAGCAGUCUUCAGGGAGAAAACGAAUUAGCCAAUAAGGUCAUCUGAAGGGAGAAUGAAAAGAGUGUUUGAAAGCAGCAGCAAAAAAAAAAUCUACCAUUCACUUACUCAGCAACUCCAUUAGAGGCUCCAGUUUCUCACAGGGGUUGAAACUGUUCCCUAUGUCUAUACCCU
This 1106-nucleotide long non-coding RNA is filed under the name Cricetulus griseus (Chinese hamster). Its description in RNAcentral is "lncRNA (ENSCGRG00015037579.1)". Lineage: Eukaryota; Metazoa; Chordata; Mammalia; Rodentia; Cricetidae. The record is from RNAcentral.